AAAAACAUGGCUUUUUGAAUUUAAUUUAAAGUCUGACCUGCUCAAUGAAUUUUAAAUAGCCGCAGUAUCUUAACUGUGCAAAGGUAGCAUAAUCAUUAGUUUUUUAAUUGGAAGCUGGCAUGAAAGGUCGAAUGAGAAAAUAGCUGUCUCUAUAAAAAUUUUAUAGAAUUUUAUUUUUAAGUAAAAAAGCUUAAAUAAUAAUAAAAGACGAGAAGACCCUAUAGAGUUUUAUAUUUAUAAAAAAAUUAUUUUUAUUUAGUAUUUUAAAUAUAAUUUUUUUUAUAUUAUUUAGUUGGGGUGAUUGGAAAAUUUAAUAAACUUUUCUUUAAUUUUUACAUUUAUAUAUGAAAUUAUGAUCCUUUUAUAAAGAUUAUAAGAUAAAAUUACCUUAGGGAUAACAGCGUAAUUUUUUUUGAGAGUUCUUAUCGACAGAAAAGAUUGCGACCUCGAUGUUGGAUUAAAAUUAAUUUUUGGUGUAGAAGCUAAAUAAAUUAGGUCUGUUCGACCUUUAAAAUUUUACUUGAUCUGAGUU
This 532-nucleotide ribosomal RNA is filed under the name Ceutorhynchus aeneicollis. Its description in RNAcentral is "partial 16S ribosomal RNA". It matches the Rfam family "Bacterial large subunit ribosomal RNA", at positions 1809 to 2611 of the family's 2925-position model. The record is from RNAcentral. Lineage: Eukaryota; Metazoa; Arthropoda; Insecta; Coleoptera; Curculionidae.